RNAcentral lists this ribosomal RNA (497 nucleotides) under uncultured bacterium. RNAcentral's name for it is "partial 16S ribosomal RNA". It matches the Rfam family "Bacterial small subunit ribosomal RNA", at positions 28 to 507 of the family's 1533-position model. The record is from RNAcentral.
GAUGAACGCUGGCGGCGUGCCUAAUACAUGCAAGUCGAGCGAACGGACGAGAAGCUUGCUUCUCUGAUGUUAGCGGCGGACGGGUGAGUAACACGUGGAUAACCUACCUAUAAGACUGGGAUAACUUCGGGAAACCGGAGCUAAUACCGGACGAUAUUUUGAACCGCAUGGUUCAAAAGUGAAAGACGGUCUUGCUGUCACUUAUAGAUGUAUCCGCGCUGCAUUAGCUAGUUGGUAAGGUAACGGCUUACCAAGGCAACGAUGCAUAGCCGACCUGAGAGGGUGAUCGGCCACACUGGAACUGAGACACGGUCCAGACUCCUACGGGAGGCAGCAGUAGGGAAUCUUCCGCAAUGGGCGAAAGCCUGACGGAGCAACGCCGCGUGAGUGAUGAAGGUCUUCGGAUCGUAAAACUCUGUUAUUAGGGAAGAACAUAUGUGUAAGUAACUGUGCACAUCUUGACGGUACCUAAUCAGAAAGCCACGGCUAACUACGUG